This 315-nucleotide ribosomal RNA is filed under the name Paramycosphaerella marksii. RNAcentral describes it as "eukaryotic LSU rRNA". It matches the Rfam family "Eukaryotic large subunit ribosomal RNA", at positions 331 to 670 of the family's 3401-position model. The record is from RNAcentral. Lineage: Eukaryota; Fungi; Ascomycota; Dothideomycetes; Mycosphaerellales; Mycosphaerellaceae.
AGACCGAUAGCGAACAAGUAGAGUGAUCGAAAGAUGAAAAGCACUUUGGAAAGAGAGUUAAAAAGCACGUGAAAUUGUUGAAAGGGAAGCGCUUGCAACCAGACUUCGCGGCGGUGUUCCGCCGGUCUUUUGACCGGUCUACUCGCCGCCGCGAGGCCAACAUCGUCUGGGGCCGCCGGAUAAGACCGUGGGAAUGUGGCUCCCUCGGGAGUGUUAUAGCCCACGGUGAUGCGGCGUGUCCCGGGCGAGGUCCGCGCUUCGGCAAGGAUGUUGGCGUAAUGGUUGCCAGCGGCCCGUCUUGAAACACGGACCAAG